UACAGAGGUGGCAAGCGUUGUUCGGAAUUACUGGGCGUAAAGGGCGCGUAGGCGGCCUUCUUAGUCGGACGUGAAAUCCCCAGGCUCAACUUGGGAACUGCGUCCGAUACUGGAUGGCUUGAGUGCGGGAGAGGGAUGUGGAAUUCCAGGUGUAGCGGUGAAAUGCUUAGAUAUCGUCAAGAACACCUAUAACGAAGGCAGCUUACUAGGCUGUAACUGACGCUGAGGCACGAAAGUGUGGGGAUCAAACAGG
This 253-nucleotide ribosomal RNA is filed under the name uncultured bacterium. Its description in RNAcentral is "partial 16S ribosomal RNA". It matches the Rfam family "Bacterial small subunit ribosomal RNA", at positions 524 to 776 of the family's 1533-position model. The record is from RNAcentral.